This 295-nucleotide long non-coding RNA is filed under the name Manihot esculenta (cassava). RNAcentral describes it as "long non-coding RNA (MESC_LNC007918)". Lineage: Eukaryota; Viridiplantae; Streptophyta; Magnoliopsida; Malpighiales; Euphorbiaceae. The record is from RNAcentral.
AGUAGGUCUACCCGAGAUAGAGCAGCAAGAGACCCUAGAAGGUCUUUGGAUCUGGGUAGAAGCAGAUCAGUCAGAGGAACAGUUCAGGGAGGAGCGUCUGAGGACAUGGGGGAUGAUAUGGAUGUAGAGCAGAGGAGGGAUGGCAGUCUGGGAGUUAGCAUGUCGGAGGAAGGUAUGGGAGAGUCCCAAGGAGGCACUCAGGCCUCGGGAUUUGUUCAGCCACCCCACUACCCACACUUCUCACAACAUCCCGGGUAUUCGAUGGGAGGUACAUCAGAUUACCCUAGCUUCACCC